RNAcentral lists this ribosomal RNA (465 nucleotides) under uncultured bacterium. Its description in RNAcentral is "bacterial SSU rRNA". It matches the Rfam family "Bacterial small subunit ribosomal RNA", at positions 33 to 518 of the family's 1533-position model. The record is from RNAcentral.
ACGCUGGCGGCGUGCCUCAUACAUGCAAGUCGAGCGGUCUGGCUUCGGCCAGAUAGCGGCGGACGGGUGAGUAACACGUGGGUAACCUGCCCUAAAGACCGGGAUAACAUCCUGAAAGGGAUGCUAAUACCGGGUAUGGUCUUCCAGUCGCAUGGCAGGAAGAAGAGAGGAGCAAUCCGCUUUAGGAUGGGCCCGCGUCCCAUUAGCUAGUUGGUGAGGUAACAGCUCACCAAGGCGACGAUGGGUAGCCGACCUGAGAGGGUGACCGGCCACACUGGGACUGAGACACGGCCCAGACUCCUACGGGAGGCAGCAGUCGGGAAUAUUGGGCAAUUGGGGGGAAACCCUGACCCAGCAACGCCGCGUGAGUGACGAAGGCCUUCGGGUCGUAAAGCUCUGUCCUUGGGGACGAACGAUGACGGUACCCAAGAAGAAAGCCACGGCUAACUACGUGCCAGCCGCAGC